AGUGAACGCUGGCGGUAGGCCUAACACAUGCAAGUCGAACGGCAGCACAGUAAGAGCUUGCUCUUACGGGUGGCGAGUGGCGGACGGGUGAGGAAUACAUCGGAAUCUACUUUUUCGUGGGGGAUAACGUAGGGAAACUUACGCUAAUACCGCAUACGACCUACGGGUGAAAGCAGGGGAUCUUCGGACCUUGCGCGAUUGAAUAAGCCGAUGUCGGAUUAGCUAGUUGGCGGGGUAAAGGCCCACCAAGGCGACGAUCCGUAGCUGGUCUGAGAGGAUGAUCAGCCACACUGGAACUGAGACACGGUCCAGACUCCUACGGGAGGCAGCAGUGGGGAAUAUUGGACAAUGGGCGCAAGCCUGAUCCAGCCGUACCGCGUGGGUGAAGAAGGCCUUCGGGUUGUAAAGCCCUUUUGUUGGGAAAGAAAAGCAGCAGGUUAAUACCCCGCUGUUCUGACGGUACCCAAAGAAUAAGCACCGGCUAACUUCGUG
Molecule: ribosomal RNA, 492 nt
Filed under: uncultured bacterium
Lineage: Bacteria
Description: partial 16S ribosomal RNA
Rfam family: Bacterial small subunit ribosomal RNA
Source: RNAcentral